AGAGUUUGAUCAUGGCUCAGAUUGAACGCUGGCGGCAUGCCUUACACAUGCAAGUCGAACGGUAACAGGUCUUCGGAUGCUGACGAGUGGCGAACGGGUGAGUAAUACAUCGGAACGUGCCCAGUAAUGGGGGAUAGCUCGGUGAAAGCCGGAUUAAUACCGCAUACGCCCUGAGGGGGAAAGUGGGGGACCGCAAGGCCUCACGUUAUUGGAGUGGCCGAUGGCUGAUUAGCUAGUUGGUAGGGUAAAGGCCUACCAAGGCGACGAUCAGUAGCUGGUCUGAGAGGACGAUCAGCCACACUGGGACUGAGACACGGCCCAGACUCCUACGGGAGGCAGCAGUGGGGAAUUUUGGACAAUGGGGGAAACCCUGAUCCAGCAAUGCCGCGUGUGCGAAGAAGGCCUUCGGGUUGUAAAGCACUUUUGUCAGGGAGGAAAUCCUUUGGGCUAAUACCCUAGGGGGAUGACGGUACCUGAAGAAUAAGCACCGGCUAACUACGUGCCAACAGCCGCGGUAAUACGUAGGGUGCAAGCGUUAAUCGGAAUUACUGGGCGUAAAGCGUGCGCAGGCGGUUGUGUAAGACAGGUGUGAAAUCCCCGGGCUUAACCUGGGAAUUGCAUUUGUGACUGCACGACUAGAGUGUGUCAGAGGGGGGUGGAAUUCCACGUGUAGCAGUGAAAUGCGUAGAUAUGUGGAGGAACACCAAUGGCGAAGGCAGCCCCCUGGGAUAACACUGACGCUCAUGCACGAAAGCGUGGGGAGCAAACAGGAUUAGAUACCCCGGUAGUCC
This 791-nucleotide ribosomal RNA is filed under the name uncultured bacterium. RNAcentral's name for it is "bacterial SSU rRNA". It matches the Rfam family "Bacterial small subunit ribosomal RNA", at positions 8 to 796 of the family's 1533-position model. The record is from RNAcentral.